Non-coding RNA from Glycine max (soybean), 79 nucleotides. Lineage: Eukaryota; Viridiplantae; Streptophyta; Magnoliopsida; Fabales; Fabaceae. The record is from Rfam.
GGCCUGUGAUGCAUCAAUUUGUCCGUACCAUCUGAGACCUUGUCUCUGAUGAAUGCUCAAAUUCUUUAAUCUGAGGCCU